RNAcentral lists this long non-coding RNA (22460 nucleotides) under Phaseolus vulgaris (common bean). Its description in RNAcentral is "long non-coding RNA (PVUL_LNC003658)". Lineage: Eukaryota; Viridiplantae; Streptophyta; Magnoliopsida; Fabales; Fabaceae. The record is from RNAcentral.
GAUUCAAACUACAGACUUAAUAACCUUAUCAGCUUCAAAAGCCUGCACGAACACUAAAUCGAAGGCUUCAUGCUCAGUGAGAUUCAACCGUCUUCCAUCCUCACCGUUCUCUGCAUCAAACCUCCCAAUAUCCAAGCAAGUUGGUGAACCAGUGAUGCAGAACACAAGCUUGUACCCAAACUGGUAUUUCUCAAUAUGAAAUUUCCCACCAAAAGUUUGUUGCCCUGGAUGCCCUUCGGCCCCACCAACUCCCACACAUGCCUUCUGGAUUGUUUCGUCCACAAACACCAACCACUUGGAGGAUUCUGAACACUCUGGCUUCUCCACGAACUCGAUUUCCAGUUUGGUACCUACAGUUAUGUUUCCAAAAAUUCAAAUCAGUAAGUAAAAAAAAACAUUAUUACGACUUUAAUCCUAACGUUAGGAUGUGCUUUAAAUGGCUCUGAUACCAUAUUAAGAAGUGGACUUUAAGUCUCACUCAACCCCAUAAAACCUGCUCAUAGAAUUGAGGUUUGCAUCCAUUUAUAUAGAAUGAAAUGUCAAUCUCUAGUCGAUGUGGAAUCUCCAAGCGAUACCAUAUUACGAAUAUAUUACAAAGUAGACUUUAAACCUAACUAAAGUCAUUGAAAGUUUAAACCCACGAAUUCUCUUCAUUUAGAGUGGAUAUAAGAUCUCUGAAAUAGUUGUCAACAAAAAAUUCUUCCUACAACAACUUAGUGACUCAUAAUAGUGAGAGAAAAGUAAACUUUUAAGACAGUUUGAUAACUAAUUUCACUGUUCAUUAAUAAGUAAAUGAUAUAAAAGAUUUGAGGGGACUCGUGGUCUUGUUGCAUAUAAAUGCUGAAGUUCCCAUUUUUAUUUACUUUGAAGUCUGAAAUAAUUAAAUUGAUAAGGUAUUGAUGAGUACCAGUGAAGAUGAUUCCGGGGCUGACUCCAGGUAUGGUGAACUUCACGGGAAUGCCACGGAAGACUUCUAUGUAAUCUUGCAAGACAGUUAGAGCGCACUGUGAGUUCCCAGUUUGGCCAAGUUUCAGUCCACCACCAGGUGGGCCACGGAUUGCUGGUAAGAUGUAGUAUGUGAGACCUGGGAAAAUGGGGUUCCCAUUUACGUCCACAACUUGCUCAACAUCUGAGAAAGCUAAGGGAAGGUUGGUGAGGAAAGCAAGGAGAGGGAGGAGGAAGGAGAGGGCAAGAACUGCUGUGGCUUUCAUGGUUGAUUCAGAGGAAGAUGGUGCUGUUGCAGAUGUUCUGCUUCUGUUGUGGUGGACUGGUUUUGGUUCUUUAUAUAGAAACAGAGCACCACGUGCUUGUUCUUAAAAGAAGAUGACAGAGAAUUUUGAUGACAGAGAAAACAAAAACAAAAAAGAAAAAGUAAAAGAAAAAGAAAAUCUGAGAAUUGAAACAUGUUUCAGCAACAAUGUAAAACGAUGUUAAGAAUGGACAUAACAUCAAAGAUGUAUAGGAAGAUAAGAAAAACAUAGUAGUGAAACAGACUUACAUGACAUUUGUAACAUGUGACUAAAUUGUUUUAAUAUUUUCAAGAAAUUUUUUCUGGGAGGUAGUUUUUUCCCCUUAAUUUAGCAACUGAAUAUUAGUCUUUUAUUAAAAUAAUUAGAUUAAAAUUAAUAAAUUCUAGUGAUAAAAAUAUAUUUUUAAGAUAACUUGAUUUUUAAUGAGGAAAUAAUAAAUGAGUAAGCAUUUAUAGGUAGAGAAAUGUAAAGAAUUUGUAGCUCAGAUGGGUGCAUACAGUAUCAAUAAUGAUAAUAUACUUGUUAGAAAAAUAAUUGUGAAGCAAUCAUUGGUAGUUUCAUCUAUAAUCUCAAAUUUUGAAACAAGUUUUUUUUAUCAGAAAACCAAAUCUUUACUCACAAAAGCAAUACUUUUUGAAAAUCACUAUUUUCAAUAUUGGUUUUAACAGAAAAAAGAAAAAAAAAUAGAAUAAUCAAUUUUACUUAUUUAUAUGAUAUGAUGAUUUAAAUAUUUGUAAACUUCAUGGCAGAAUUAGAAUUGGAUAAGUUUACUUAUCAUCUCUAAUUAUACAUAUUAUCUCUUGAAGAUAAUUAUGAUCAAUUUUUUUAUACUUUUUAUUCUUUAAUGUUAUUCAAACCAAAUUAAUUUAAAUUCAUUUAUUAUAUAAAAAUAAAAAAUAAAAAAUCAAAGAGAAUAUAUAAAAUGUCUUAAGCCACGUGCUUAGUAGGUGAGAGAUUAUUUGAUCACGUGCAAGUACAGUAAUCGGAUAAGGAUGAAGUUGGAAUGAGUUAUUUUGGAAGUUUUUUUUUUUAAAAAUCGCAUUAUUAAAAGAAAAUUACCCAAAUAAUAUAUUACUCAUCAUAUUUAUCUAAAUAAUAAUAUGAUUUACGAUUGAUGUCAGGUUUCUCAAAAACCGAAGUCUAACUUAAUUUUUCAAUUUUUUUUAAAAUUAUGAAAAAAAUACAUAAUGAUAGUGUAAACUUUAUGACAUUAUCAUAUUUAAAAUUUAUUUUUUAAUAAUUUAAAUAAAUUAUUAAAUAUAAUUAAUAUUGAUAUCUUAUCACACAUGCAAUGCAAAGCAAGUAUAAUAGUUGGAUAAAAACAAACUUGCACCGAGUUAUUUUACUAAGCCAAUAAGGUAUGCAAAAUUGAAAUAUUUAUAUUGAGGUAUUUUUAUAACUUUAUUUAUAUUAAAUUAAGGACUCAUGUUUUAACUUGAUUGUUUAUAUUAAAAUAGAAAUAAAAAUGGAUUUAUUUGGUAAUUUUAAAUUAUAGAAACAUAUUCCAUAGAUAUUUGGUAGAAAGAACAAGAAAUUGACUUUGAAUUUUUAUUUUACAUCUUACACUCUUAGCAAUUCAAUGAAAUGCGUGUCACAAAAGAGAGCACACCCUUUUUUUAACAAUUAUAAAAGUUAUAAAAUAAUAAUAAUAGAGACAUUAGUGAUAAAUAAUUAAUGAGCUUUUGAUAAACACUUUUAUUUAUUUGUAGAUUAAAGUUCUCGAUCUUCACGAGGCACACAAUAUUAAAUUAUAAUAUUAAAGCACGUGCCGAGGAAUAUUUUAUGCUUCCCGUGGAACACGCACGACCUUCCUUCUAUAUUUUUAAAAGAGGGUUAAGAUAUUGUUUCUCUCUAAUAAAAUAUAUGUUAAACUAUAAUAUUAAAAUCCGGUAUUGAAAUGAUAAAUAUUUGAAAAUUAAAAAACCAGAAAAUCAUAAAUUAUUUAUCUGAAAUUUAAAAAGAUAAAUUAAUUAAAAUAUAAGUCUAAGAAUCCACCCCAAAAGAAACAAUAUGACCUCUCACCUUUCUGUUCACUACUUUGUCUUCUUUUUCACAAAUUUGGCAACCGCACCUUAUGCAAUUUGCAAUACCACCACUACAAAUUUCUUCUUUUCGUUAUUUUUCACUUGGCGCGUAUUUUGAAUUUUAAAAUGUCAAUCGCGAUGAGUUUCUAAGAAUAUAUAGGUUAUGAGAAAUAGAGACCCAUUCAUUUCUCAUUUUUUCUUUUCAUUUACUGAAGAAUAAGUGAUUCUUUUAUCAUUUUUUUUUUAUCCAUAUCAUACCUGUUCAGACGUGAUGCAGUUUAUAAGGUUUUUUUUUUAUUAUCAAAGUUGUUUGCUUUUAUCAUAUUUUUGGUGUCCCAAUAAUGCUUUUAAGAAAUAUUGAUCAAGCUAAUGGACUAUGUAAUGGUACAAGAUUUCAAGUUAAUGAGUUGGGGAAGAAUUUUAUCGAUUGUACAGUGAUUACAGGCAAAAACAUUGAUCAUAAAAUAUUCAUUCUUAGAACGAACUUGAUUCCUUCAGAUUUAGGACUGUCUUUCAAGUUUCAAAAAAGACAAUUAUCGAUAUCUUGUGCUUUGCAAUGACUAUAAAUAAAAACUAAGGUCAAACACUUUCCGAAGGUCUACUUUUUUUUCUUGGCCAAUGUUAUAAGCCAACAAUCUACAAAUAAUUUGUUUUUUAAUAAUUGUUUCUUAUUUGAAUUUGCAGGGUAAUAUAAUUGUUCUGAUCAUAUUUUUGCUUCUACUGCAAAAUUGUAAUAAAUAUAAUAUCUUAUCAAAAUCUUCUAUUCCUAUCUUUGCAUUUGGACAAAAUAAUACUUCUACUUUCUGUUUUUUUUUUCUCUAAGAUUUAAAACAUAUCUUUUAUAUAUUCCUCCUAUCAAAUUUACAUUUAAGUUAUGUGUAGCGGUGAUUGAAAUAUAUUGACAUUAUAACCCAAUAUUAUUCAACAACAAUUAGAGGUUAGUAUCAAAUAUUCAACAUCACUAUACCAUUUCUUACAUAUAGUAACAUAUUAUUUUCUCACAACACUCGUGCAUUAUUUUGUUUCUAUAUUUUGCUUUGUUUUCUUUUCUUCUGUUUUCACUUUCUCAUGUUUCAUAUACUGUGCAAUGCCACCAAGUGUUUGAUAAAUGCUUGAAUGAUGGUGACUGGUUCUUUCUCUAUUUGUUUAGGUUAUAUAUGGUUUUAUGAAUUGAUUACUAGACACUCAUUUAUUAAUUAAUAUAUGCGUAGCAUGCUUGUUGGUUGGGGUGUGACUGUGAGAGGGAAGGUGAGUGUGGGUUAUGACUUACCUUUCCGUUUCCUUGACAUAAUUGGGAGGUUACUUGCCACAAUUAAUUGUCAUCAAAUGGAAGUUUCUUACUACAACUAAUUGUCACCAAAGGGAGGUUAAUUACCAUUAAUUGUAUUUAUUAUUGUUGUCUCCUAGAACCACUAUAUAUAGUGGUUUCCUUCCAGCAAUAUAACAAACAACAACACAUACUUGCUUCCUCUUUAUUUUCCUAUACUCUCUAUUUCUGCUCUUGGGUGUAAGUGUUUAACCCAUAUAGAGAGAAUUUGUUUUGGGGCUAUUUAUCUAUUAGCCUGAGAGGGAUUCAUGGUACUCCCAGUACCAUUAUAGUGGAAGUUUUGGCUCUUUCGCCGAUGGUUUUUUAUCUUUAUUUAAAGGGGUUUUCCACCUAAAAAAUUUUGGUAUCAUUCUCAUUUUCUUUGUUACUCUAAUUUCUCAUAAUUUGGUUGAAAUUAUUACGCUUCUGCACAUGAUAUCCCUACAGUGAGAGAGAAUGCAGAAGGAUGGAAUAGUGUUGCGACGCUUUUGAAUAUCUUGAAGCUUUUUUAAUGGUUAAAGGUUUUAUUAACAUGAUUUUCUACUAAGAUUUACUAUUUUGGUUAAAUGUUUUAUUCAUUUUUUAAUGACAAUUUCAAUUUCAAUAAAAGCAUAGAUUGGAAAAACAACUCAUCAGGACUAUAAGGUACUGCCUCAAGCAGAGGAUUCCAGUGUGAAAUCGACUUGUAAUGGUGAAGAGGUAAAUCUUCAAGAGACUUUUGAAAAAUCUCAGCAAAUUACAAGUUAACGUAAUCAUAUAUUGCUUGGUAUCACGAUGCAACUUUAUGUAACUUUUUCUGUCCAAUCAAUUAUUAAGAUGGAAGAAGAUGAAGAUGUAGAGGUUAAACAAAAGGAAUGUGAUGAUGCAAAGUACAAUGUCGAUGAAGAACCAAUCAACCAACAUUUUAAGCAGCUAGAGUUAUUUCAGCUGCAAAACGAGAACGUCCAAGUAACUUGUGUCAGAAUAAUAUUAAAUAAUCAUACUUACAACAUGUAUAAUUCUAAUACAGUACCAUAUAAACAUGCAAUUAGAGCUAGAUUGAAUGGUUUGACACAAGAGUUUUCCUAGGAUUGCUUUCGUAAUGCACUAUGCAUAAGAUAAAGUAACCAAUUUGAUGUUGACAAUCCUUAGGAAUUGAAAAUGAUGGUUCAUCAAACAAAAAUAGGAAUGCAGGUUCUGCAACAUAAUUCACCUACGCAUUUUACCUAUGACCAAUCACUGACCAAUUAAAAGGUUGUCUCCAUUUUAAAAUUACUAUGUAAAAGCCUAAGGGGGCUCAAUGAUUCAUUCCCACAAGUAUGAACAUUUCAAUUCUGUUUUUUAUUUUACCUAAUCUCAAUUUUGUGCACAAUAUCUUGUAGUUUCUUGAUUCUUUCUUUCUGAAGGAUAUUUUUAUCCAUUAUUAAAAACCAAUUUCUUUUGAGACCUUUAUAUUAUUAUAAGAAAAUUUGGUCUCAUAUAAAAAAUUGUGUUUAGAUAAAUCUAAAAUCAAACUCUAGUUUUUAUUUUUCAAGAGUAUUUAUUUGAUCUUUAGUCUGGAACCAAAUUUUUUUCACAUGCAACUAGGUGGGGUAGGUACUUAAUUGAAGGACAAUAAUGUUAAUUAAACCAUGGCCUUAACAUGGAAUGUGAAAGAAGGUCCAAGACGACUCAAAUGUUCACUCACCUUCAAACCUCGGUCCUUGGUCUCUUACCUCAGGUUCAUCAAUCAUCAUCCAACAUUUCAUGUUUUCUCAAUAAUUAAUGCUACACAUUAUUUUCAUGGUUUUUUUUAGAGUUUUGGUUACAUGAGUUUUAUGCAUUAUGUCCACAUUGUGUUGAAGAUGAAGAUGAAAGCUUUCAUGUAUCAAAUUCACAUGAAGCCGGAAGCUGUGUGCUUUCUGGGUUCUGGGUUUGGGUUUAGAUUAAGUUGUUUAGAAUCUUUGUUAAGAUUAGUCCUUGAAGCCUACACAAAGCUUGAUUAAAUCUAUUUUAAGAAACUAAGUGUUGUUCCAAGUAAAGGGAAAACAACCGAUUGAUUUGUCGAAAUAAUCGGUUGUUUGUCAAUUAGCUCACUGGAAGUUUUGAAACUGCUUGACUCAUUCAACCGGUUAAAUCGUGGUCUCACCCGGUUAAAUAUGUGUUUUCAUAACAGUUUUUUGAAAACUUGUUUUAACUGAUUCAGUUGUUCAAAUCUGCCUUAAGCAAUUGCUUUUCAAAGGCUAUAAAUAAAGGCUUUCAUUAAAAUCAAAAGAUACAACAAAUACAACAAGUAUUGAUUCAGAUUUUAGAAAGAGAUUUGGUGUUUGAAAGUGCUUACAAAAAGUGCAAGAGUGCUUUCAAGCUUUGAUGUGGUGACAAGUGUUGAUCAUAGGAUCUCUGGUUCUGUAAUUCCAGGUGUUUUCUAUCCUUGCUUAGUGUAUUGUAAUUGUACUUCUUUUACAUACUUUUGUGUUUGAAAUUCUAUAAAGACAAAGGUUGUUCUGUCUUGAGGUGUGAAGUUUUGCAAAGAGGGUGAGUAGGCUUUGUGGGAUUCAAAGUCACCUCUUUGUGGUGUGUGAUUGUAAUCUGUGUUGAUUACUAGUGGAAACUUAGAGGUUUGUCUGAGAACUGGAUGUAGCUCAGGGAUUGAGUGAACCAGUAGAAACCUUGUGUGUAAAUCUCUCUUUCUCUCAAACUGUUUGAUAUUUUGCUGCUAUAAACAACCGAUUAAAACACAAUUUUAACCGGUUAAAAUUCUGAUAUCUAUUUCUUUUGGAUUGUUUGGUUGCCUUCCUUAAGUGCUUAUCUGAGUUGUUUGUUAAAUAUUCAUUCUAGACCAAGUAUUUGCGAAAAUCUUUGAUAAACAAUUCACCCCUCCUCUUGUUUAAGCCAUCAAUUCUUACACAUUGGAGGAGUUGAAGAAGACUAUGAAAGGAGUAGAAGGGUCCAUGAUUGAAUGUGGUAACAACAAUAGAAAUUGUUCAAUCAUGGUUACUAUUUCUGCUAAUGUUGCAUUCUUUGGUAUUCAAUGGGUGCCUCAACCAGGUUUGGUGACGCAAAUUUUAAAGGUGUUUUGCAAUCACAAAGCAUAGAUUUUGGCUACAAAUGUAGAAAUUGAUAUUGGCAAUCACAGUUUUGGUGCAAAAUAAUGGAAAGUGUGUGGUUGAAAAUAUUAAAAGAGAAAUUAUGAGUUUGUAGGAUCAAAACUCUUGCGAUAGAUUAUAUGGUGUUUGAUUUUGGUACCAUGUCACAGAAGAAGCUAACUUGAUAUAGAUCAUGAUUAGACAUUAGAAACUAAACUCUAACCUGUAUCAAUUUCAAAAAACCUGCAUCUCACUUGUCACUUAUAUGGUUUAAUUAGAUCGUAUUCAUAUAAUUAUAAAAGAAUUUAGUAUGAGAUUUGGAUGAAGAGAAAGGAAGGAAGAAAGUAGAAACUAGAGCUGAAAACUUUUACUGAGAUACAAUAUGAAUAGGUUAGGCCAAUUGCAUAAUUGGUGUAUUAAUUGGUUUUAUUUGUCUUACGCUAAUCUUUUUUUCUUUUAUGUGAUGGGCAACGAAGAAUACUGAUGGAAGAGAGUCAUCUCGUGCAGAAAUGUGCAUCAUGAUAAGCCUAAGAGUGAAACAAAUUAUUGUAUGUAAUCUCUAUCUUUAUCUUCCUCACCCUCAAUAGUUAUUCCUCAAAUAUUAAAUUUUGAAUAUUUGGUGCUUAACUGCUAUAUUUAUAUAAUGUAAAUUAAUUUAAUAUUUAAUAACGUCUACUACUAAAACUUUAGACAAACUUCUGUAAAUGGUACAGAUUGAAGACAUGUAUGAAUACUUCUUAACAUUUGUGAACUGUAACAAAUGUAUAUAUUUUUGGUGGAACUGAAGAUUAUAAUUAUAUCAUUAUGGAGUGUUGGUUGUUUGAUGCUGCAAAAUCUGUAUUAAAUUUGAUGUGGUAGAAAUAAUGUAGAAUGACUUGUUUGACAUAAAUAACAGUUGGGGCCAUCAAAGCCUCUUCAAUUGUAAUAUUGCUACUAGGAAGUUGAUCUUUCAAUGAAAGACCAUUCUUUUUUUGUGUGUGGAAAAUUGGGAGUAUGUGUUGGCCUUCUAUCUUUGUAAAUGUGCUCUUCACUGUUGUGAGGUUUUUACAACACACCCUUAAUGGAACAAAAAAUCCAUCUAUAAGUAACACAUUAAUGUCUCAUGCAUGAAUUAUUAUGUCCUUCAGAUACAAAUUUAUAGGGGCUACAAUUAUCUCAUUGCUUUAACCACAAAAUUUUCAUUUCAUCCAUCAGAAUGCAAACCACACUUACCUUGGACAACUUCAUACCAUAGAGUUAGUCUGUAGAGAAAAAUGCUAAAGUCACUUAGCUGCUAAAACAAUAUUUUAAUCUAGCAAAUCUCCCAACUAACAAGGUGACCUCUACUUAAUCCAUUUGAAAACAAUAUAUCUUAAGUUUUUAUAGUAAACAAUUGGUGCACGUAUGAUAGAAUUUUAACUAUUGCAAUCAUUUUAAAAACCAUAUCUAUCAAUUUUUUUGAGAUUUUUUUCAAAUUAAACUCAAAUUUUAAAAGGCAUAUAUAUGAGUAUAUGGGUAAAUCAUAGUUAAUAUCUGUGGUUGAUGAAAUUUUAUAAAUAUUUUUUCUAUUCUUAUUUAUGGCUAUCAAAUAUUAGAGGUGACAAAGUGAGGCGGACUGUGCGAAUUGGCCUGUGGCCCCCUGAAAAAAAUGUGGGCGGGUUGCUUAUUUCAACUCGCUGACUCACUUAGGUCCGCCCUACAUAACUCGCAGUCCGCACGGGCCAAGUGGGAGCGGGUGCGGGUUGACCCGCAUAACUUUAAAAUGUAGAAUUUUUUUUCUGCAUCGCCAUAUUUUCUUCAUGUAGCCUCAUAUUUCACAUUCCAAAAUUUUUAAUAACAUCUUACUAUGCAUGUCUCGUGAAAAUAAUAUUAUUAGACCAUUUACCUAAUUCAUCUAAAUAAAUAAAAAAUUAUUUAAAAAAAUAUUUCUUAUGCGGACUAGCUCGUAGGCCAACCCUUAUACGAAACAAACUAGAAAUCUUUGAAUGCAUGUUUUCAUCUGCUGAGCUCAAUGAAUUUCAAGAAAUAUCUGAAAAAUAUUGGGUUGAAAAGAGAAGACUACUAUUUUUUAAAACAUGUUUGGAAGGGUUUGUUGUCUUGCCUUGCUUGGGGUUUUAUGGCUCUAUCCUGAGAAUUCAGCACUGAGCGGGGGAAACUGAAGUCAAGGCUGAAGGAGCAUGAAGAAGCAUUGAAGGAUUUCAUUGGUAAGGGAAGGAUGAGAAAGCUCAGAAGCUGUGGUUGAGGCUGAAGAAUGAGGUUGCAACUGAACUAAAGGAGAGACGUUUUGAUGUUGAAUAAGUGUAUGCUUUAUAGUGAAUGGUUGUCAAUGUCAUUUCCAUGAUACAUGAACAGAUUGUGAGACUCUAGAUGUAGUAGACACUAAAAAUCUUAUGUAUGCUAGAUGAUAAAUAAAAGUGACAAUUUAUUGACAAGACAUGUCUAAAUUCACUUUCAAACAUUGAAAAUCCAUAGUGUUGUGUUGAUAGAUUUUUAUUACUAGUUUGCUUAUAGAAUAAAAACAUCAAAACAUAAAUUAUUAAAUUCAUGUUACAAUCCAAACCUAAGUAAUCUAUAUAAUUUUGUAAUCAAACAAUUUACUAAAUUUUUUAGUAACAUUUUUAUAAUGUUACUUUUUUUUUAUUAAAAAAUAUUAGUAACAUUUUUUAAAUGUGACUUCUUAAAUUUAGAGUGUAGGGAUUAGUAACAUUUUUAUAAUGUUACUCUCUUUCCAAAAAAAUAUUACUAAAAAAAAUUAAUAACAUUUUUAAAAUGUUAUUUAUUUAUUAAAAAAAGUUACUAACCUUUUCAUAAUAUUAAUUUUUUUUAUUAAAAAGUAUUACUAAAAAGAUUGAAUAACAUUUUUAAAAUGACAUAUUUUAUUAAAAAAAUUACUAAAAAUAAUUAGUAACAUUUUUAUAAUGUCACUUUAAUAUUAAAAAAAGUUAAUAAAGAUUUAUAGUAACAUUUUUAUAAUAUUUUUUUUUUUAAAAUUACUCAAACAAUUUAGUAACAUUUUAAAAAUGUUAUUUUUUUAUUAAAUAAAUAUUACUAAAAAUAUUUAAUGACAUUUUUAUAAAUGUAUUUAUUCAAAUAUAAAAGUAUUACUAAAAGUAUUUAGUUAUAUAAAAUAUUUGUUACAUUGAAUAAAAUUACUAAAUCAUAUUAGUAAUUUUUUUAUAUUUAAUAACAUUUUCUUUAUUUAAUAACAUUUUUUUAAUGUUACUAAUUAUCAUAUCUAGUAUUACCAUAACUUUACAAAAAGAAAUCAAUUUAAUCCUUUAUCAUAUUAAAUAGAUUCUCUACCAAAAAUGUUUUCCUGCCGAUUUAUAAUUAAUUUUGUUAAUAAUAUAAAAUAGUAAUAGUUAAAAACGGAUAGAAAAAAAGUUCUUAUAUUUUUCUCUAGACAUAAUUACAUUUUUAAUCAUCAUUAUAAUUAGAAAGAUAAGAAAAACCUCCUCUAUUCAAACAACCUUUUCUUUUUUUUUCUUAACCUCCAAAAUCUAUAUAUAUAUAUAUAUAUAUAUAUAUAUAUACACACUCAUUUUUAACAUUUUUUUUAAAUCGUUUGGUCAUAUUGUGUUUAUAAAAUCAAUCUUGAAAGGUUUAUAAAGUUAAAAAUGUGUAAUUAAGUUUUGAGUUCCAUUUAAAUUCAAGAACUACCAAAAAGAAAUCCAGGUAUUAUUAAUUUAAAUUUAAAGAUGUCAUAUUAAGGAAACUUCAUAGUCUUUGUUUACUUCGACUAUUUCAACUCCAAGAAAUUGGAUAUUUCAAAAUUCUCUAGAUUCAAACUACGGACUUAAUAACCUUAUCAGCUUCAAAAACCUUUACGAACACUAAAUCGAAGGCUUCAUGCUCAGUGAGAUUCAACCGUCUUCCAUCCUCACCGUUCUCUGCAUCAAACCUCCCAAUAUCCAAACAAGUUGGUGAACCAGUGAUGCAGAACACAAGCUUGUACCCAAAAUGGUAGUUCUCAAUAUGAAAUCUAGUCGAUAUGGGAUCUCCAACCCACCCCGCGUGCAAGGGACAACAUGUUAUGGGUGGGGUUUUUUCUUCCUGCACCCCCACGUUUUUCUUUCUGCACCCCACAAUUCUAAAUAUUCCUAAAGUACCCUUGAUCUAUAAUUUGAAAAGGGCACUCUCCUGGACUUGCAUUGUAGCAGUUCAUCUUCAUCACUGAAAUAUCAACUCCUGGACCUAUACUGGGAUUUUACCACACCGCAGGUUUAGCAUUCAGUUCUUAUAGAUAAAACAUUGCAGUUAUACAUCUUUCCCAUUUUACUUAUGAUGUAUUUCUUAUUCAUCUAUGUAAUUUAACUAUUUUUCAAAUGCAGAUUCUGACAAUGGAGUAUGUUCCGGGGAUUAAAAUAAAUAAAACACAAGCUUUAAAUGAACUUGGUAUUGAUCGCAAAAGGUUAAUCUCAUAUGAAUUUCUUCAAGCCAAGUUACUAUUGACAUUUUCCCUUCUACUUCUGUGAAUUUUAGGAAUUGAUGAUGGCUUUUGAAAUUCAAAAAUAACAUAAUGUAUACUUUAUCUUCUACAGGUUAGGGCGAUAUGCAGGGGAUUCUUAUUUGGAGCAGAUUUUUAUCACAUGGUUUCUUCCAUGCUGACUCUUCUUGUUCUUAGAAUUGUUGAGUUGUCUCAUGACUUAUCUUGUUUGAAUAAGGGAGAAGAGAUUGGCUGGAAAUACUUAUCUCCCAUGUUGGAUUCCAAGUACACACUUUGCAUGCUAUAUACUUAACUUUUGAUUUAAUCAUAUCAUAUUGCAUAAAAUAAGAGAACAAGUAAGAACUUGCACAAUAGAAGGGUGGCAAAGAAGCUUUGCAUAAAAUAUUGUUACAUUCCCUUUUCAGCUCAAAUAGAAACUGAUUUGAUCUUUGGCUGUUUUUUGUACUGCACUUAGCAUUGGAAAACAUUAUGAUAAUUGUGAAGUUUGAAAAAGAUUUAUAAACAGGGAGUUCUAAUAAUUUGUUUUGCCAGUUAACAUCAAAUGUUCAUAUUAUUUCAACUAAUUUAUAUGGAUUUGACGAGUAGGGGAUUCAAAAAUUUAGAACUUUCCCAGAUCCAAAAAUUUGGAACUUUCCCAGAUUCAAAAAUUCGGAACCUUCCCAGAACUAUAAAUCCAGGAUUUUACCGCAAGCAUAAACUCGAGAUUCUACCGGAUUCUAUGAUCUAGAAUGCAAGAAAACACUUACAGAAACAAAAAUCCAUAAAAAAAUCGGAUGUGCAGAUCCGAAAGCAAAGAAAUUAACUUAUCUUGAUUAAAAACACUCUAUAUCAGCAACAAAAAAUUCUGAGAUUGUAAGGAUAGCGAUUUGUAGGUGCGACUGCUGCUAGAAAAUGAAACCCACGGCUGUGCACUGAGAGAAUCAUUGCCUGUGCCUCUUUAGGGUUUUUUUAGGUGAAGGGUAUUUUUAGAAUUUUAAAAACUAUUAAGGACGAUUUAGUCUUUGCAUAAGAGUGUGGGGGUGCAGGAAGCAAUUGUCUAUGGGUGGUCCAAUAACGGCCCGAUAGCGGGUGGCAUGAUAGGUCCAACAAACGUUUGUUAUGAUAGACUUUAAAUGACUCUGAUAUCAUAUUACGAAGUGAACUUUAAACCUAACUCAACCCCAUAAAACCGGCUCAUGAAGUGGAAUUUGCACCCACUUAUAUAAAAUGAAAUGAUAUAAUAUCUAGUUGAUGUAGGAUCUUUAACAUACUCCCACACGCAUUUGUUCUGGAUUUCUUCGUCCUCACUCAUGUUUCAGACAUACAUAAGACACUGACAAUAAGACACUGACACUAAAACACCUAUAAUUUUUAAAAUUUAAACAUAAAAUAUAAAUUUAUAUAUUAUAUUAUUAUGAAUUAUAUAAAUUUCCUAGUACAAAAUUUAUAUCAACAAGUAUACGCUAAGAUUUUUUUUUAUGAUUGAUUAAAAGAAAUUUUUUUCUGACACAGACUGCAUGAAAAGAAAAACGUAUCCGAGCUUCGUAUUAGUAAUAGAACAACAUAGUUUUGAAGAAAAUUUCUGACUACAAUUUAGAGACUCCGAAAUAGUGAGAGAAAAGUAAACUUUUAAGACAGUUUGAUAACUAAUUUCACUGUUGAUUAACUAAACAAUAUAAAAGAUUUGAUUGAACCCAAAAAUGGACUCGUAGUUUUGUUGCAUGUAUAAGCUUAAGUUUCCAUUUUUAUAUACUUUGAAGUCUGAAAUAAUUAAGUUGAUAAAGUAAUGAUGAGUACCAGUGAAGAUGAUUCCAGGGCUGACUCCAGGUAUGGUGAAUGCCACGGAAGAGAUUUGAGUAAUCUUGCAACACAGUUAGAGCACACUUUGAGUUCCCAGUUUGGGCAAGUUUCAAUCCACCACCACUUGGGCCAAAGAUUGCUGGAAAGAUGUAGUAUGUGAAACCUCUGAAAAUGGGGUUCCCAUUUGUGUCCACAAUUGGCUGAACAUUUGAGAAAGCUAAGGGAAGGUUGGUGAGGAAAGCGAGGAGAAGGAGGAGGAAGAAGAGGGCAAGAACUGCUGUGGGUUUCAUGGUUGAUUUAGUGGAUGAUGGUGCUGUUGCAGAUGUUCUGCUUCUGUUUUGGUUUUGGUUCUUUAUAUAGAUACAAAGAUGCUGCUAUAGCACCAAGUGUUUGUGUUGGAAUGAGUUAUUUUGAUAGUUUUUUCUUAAAUAGCAUUAUUAAAAGAAAAUUAUCUAAAUAGUAUAUUACUCAUCAUAUUUAUCUAAAUAAUAAUAUGAUUUACUAUUGAUGUCAGGUUUCUCAAAAAAAUUGAAGUCUAACUUAAUUUUUUCAAUUUUUAAAAAAAAAAUUAUGAAAACAUUAAAAUUGUAAUGAUAAUAUAAUUAAAUUUUAUGACAUUAUUAUAUUUAAAAUUUAUUUUUUAAUAAUUUAAAUAAUUUAUUAAAUAUAAUUAAUAUUGAUCUCUUGUUUAAAAAUAUGAUUUUUUAUCAGUAAGAAAUAAUAAAUAAAUAUGGAUCACUUCAGAAGUGAUCCAACCCUUAUACAAAAAUAAAAAGAAAAAUAAGAUAAACCCUUAUGUCCUAACCUAAACCAAUUUUUCAACAAAAGCUAUCGACUAAUUCAAAACUCAAGUAUAUCACUUACACAGGAACCCAUCCUUGACAAUCGUUAGAGUAUACCAACACAUCAAAAUUUAAAAAAAAAAACAUAAAACAAAAACAAACUGUGAAACAUAAAUUUCCAAUAAUUAGAGGAACUUAAAAGACCUCUCUUUACAACUAACACAACAAUGGUGUACCCCCACUACUUAAAAAAAACAAAGAUAAUCCUUUUCACAUCACAAAAGCUCCUCCUUAUUGUCACUUAAUUCAAAGACCAAGACAGAACCUCUAAACGAAGUUUAAGACCAAUCUGCAAAGCACUCAACUUCCUUCUUCUUAAAAAGAAGUUAGAGAGAUAACGCAAGGAAAAAUAAACAAAUUUAAUUCACAGUUCUCAUACAUACCAAAUGUUCUAAACACCAAUCAAAAUAAGAGAAUUCUACCUUUUUCUUUACUGUUAACAAAGCCUGGUUUUUUCUUUGAGCCACAGUAAACACCUCUAUAUGGUCAACUCUCCCAUUAUUAAAAACACACCUAUUCUGAUGAUUCCAAAUUUCACCUAUAAUUUCAAUCCUCACCACUCUCCAAAUUAUGACAAUUUGGCCAUUAACAUUUAGAGGGCUGAACAAGAUGAAGUGUACCUUUGCAUCAUAGUGGUUUACCGAUAAACAACUCAAUCAAGACAAGCACAAACCCCAAAUUUUCUACCCAAUUUUACACUUAAAAAAAUAAAUGACAAAGAAUCUCCUCUUUCUCACCACACAACCCACACAAGCAACUUACCUUUGAGACUCCUUUUCUCAUAAGAUUAUCCUUUGUUGUUAUGCUAUUAUUCAACACCUUCCAAGCAGUGAUUUGUGCAGAGGGAAGAACUUUACCUUCCAGAACUUUUCAAAUUGAGCCCUAUCUUCACCUUCCACCACUACUGCAAGUAUACUAAUUAGAUAAAAACAAAGUUGACUGAGUUAUUUUGAUAUAAUAACUACACGAAGAGAGUAUACAAAAUUGAAAUUUUUAUAUUGAGGUAUUUUUAUGAUUUUAUUUAUUUUAAAGUUAAAUAUAUUUUUUAUGCAUAAUUAAUUUUUUACUUUUGUUCGAACUUUAGACCAUUCAGAUAUUUAUAGUAUGAAAAUAAUACGAAUAGGUUUUAUAUGUAAAAUAAUUGUUAUUUUUUUCAAAAAUAUUGUUAGUUUUUUUUCGAAAUUCGAUGUUGUUUUGAUUGAAGAUUAAUAUUUAAUAUAAUUAUUUUAAAUAAAUUGAUAAAGUAGAAAUUUAAAUUGAAUCAGUUUUAUAUAAAGAAAUUACGUAUUUCAAUCAGUUUUAUACUAUAAACAUAUUUGUAGUCUAAAGUUUAGACUAAAUAAAAAAUCAAUUUGGUAGGUACACAAUCUUAAAUUAUAAUAUUAAAGCUCGUGCCGAGGAAUAUUUUAUGUUUCCCGUGUAACAGGACCUUCUAUAUAUUUAAAAUAGGGUCAAGAUAUUGUUUCUCUCUAAUAAAAUAUUAUGUUAAACUGCAUAAUAAAAUCCCAUAUUAAAAUGAUAAAAAUAUUUGAAAAUUAAAAAACCAGAAAGUCAUAAAUUAUUUAUCUGAAAUUUAAAAAGACAAAUUAAUUAAAAUAUAACUCUAAUAUCUAAUAUUCAACAUUAUCGUAACUUCACAAAAAUAAAUCAAUUUAAUCCUUUAUCAUAUAAAUUAGAUUUUCUACCAAAAUGUUUUCCUACCGAUUUAUUAUUAAUUUUGUUAAUAAUUUCAAAUGUUAAUAAUUAAAAACAUAUAGAAAAAAAAUUCUGAAUAUUAUAACAUGAAAUCAUUCAUGUAGAGGGAGGCAUCUAUUUCGUUUGUUGGGCUUGGUCCCUUAUUUUUUUUCCUAGUUGGUUAGGUUAUUUGUUUUUGCACCUCGAAAUUUUCAUACGCACUCCUAAAAAAUUUUAUAUUCCAAAUUUACCCUUUUGGUAAUAUAUAUAUAUAUAUAUAUAUAUAUAUAUAUAUAUAUUAGUGGAGGGCAUUUUUUGUUUUGGUAUUUUCUUGUUAUGACUUCUUUGAUGUUUUCACAUACUUCAUGGUUGUGGUAUACUUGGUGGUGUUAUUGGGAAGUGUAGAGUGCAUUGAGUUACUAGGGAAGUGAAGAUAAUAUUGAGAGGGAAUGUAAGUUUCUCUUUUGUUUUGCUGAUUUUUUUUCUCUCUAGUUAAUGAUUUUGAAUUUAACUUCUCAAUCCGAAGAUUUCUUGAAUUACAUCUGGAGAAUAUAUUUAUAUAUAUAUAUAUAUAUAUUUAUUGUCCAAUUCGAAAGUGAAAAUAUUUUUUUGGAUUGUAUAAUUUAAGAGUCAAAUUUUGUUUAUGUAUUGCACAAUCUGAAUACUAUAUUGAAUUAUGGAUUGUGUAAUUUAUAAGUUAAAUUUGGCUUCACAAUUGCACAAUCCAGAAUAAAAAUUUAAUCUUUGAGUUAUACGUUUUGCAAUACAAUCUAGAAGAACAAAUAUAUUAUAGAUUUUAUAAUCUGAAAUAUAAAUUUUACUUUUUGAUUACACAAUAUAGAAGUCUCAGUUGUUCAAUUUCUUAAAGUUUUUGUAUGUCCAUACUUAUGUUGUGUAAUAUAAGCACAUUAUUACAUUGUUUUGUGAGUACUCUUACGAUUACUUUUAUGGUGAGUGUUAAAAUGUCAGAUAAAGUGGAUAAGUUGUUUCACAUGGAUAAGCUUGACAAUUUGUUGUAAUAGAAGAUGCAUUGGUUAGAGGAGAUUGCAUUCAACCUUUUACAAUAAAUGAGUAAGUAAAAUUUUAUAUCAUUUGUGUAAAUAUGAUACAUGACAUAUGCUUAUGUUGUAAUAUAUUUGGUAUGUGAAAUGACUUAUUUGAAUUGGUGUGUAAAGUACCAUUUCGACUUGGUUUUGUAAUUAUCAUUUUGCAGUAUGAAAUAUCAAAUGGAAAAUUAAGAAAAAAAAUACAUGUGUGUUGUUAGUGAAAGAGGUGGAAGUAUAGGAGAUACAAAAACAAUUUACUAGUCAUUGUACCUAGUAUAAGAAAAUAUGAUUGUUCUUUUAAAUUGCAAGGUAAACAAAUUUGCAAUGGAGGAGGGCAGGUUUUGAAGACAAUAUGUGGGAGUCAUAAUCAUGAAUUGGUUGAUUCAUGAACUGGUUGGUUUGUUCAAAUUCUUAUGUAUCGAGUUGACAUUUAAAUAUAAUAUUAUGUUCUUGAUUGGUAAUUGGUAUUGUCAUUUUAUUUGUAAUGCUAGUUUAUCAUGAUUUUGAUUCUUAAAUUUGACUGAAAAGUACCUCUAAGUUUCUGACCUAAAUGAUAAUACUUAACAUAUUUGAAUGCUAGAAAGAAAUUUAAAAUGUUAAUUGCUAUCAACAUCUAAUCGUAAGAAUAAGGAGUUUUUAUAAAUAGGCGAAUAAUCGAUAUUUAGGAGACUAUUUUAAUAAUUUUAUAUGCGAGAAAACGAUAUGAAUGAAUUUUAUAUGGACAUCAAUAUCAAUCAAAUGAUAGAAUAUUAUUAUGCUUUUCAAAAUACAAAAGAGUGAGAAGGAUGAACCCCAAUGCCAAUUUUCCCAAUUGAAUAAACAACUUUUUACUUUGCUUUAUUUACAAUUCUUGCAAUCAUACACAACAAACAUCCUACAAACUUUUACUUAUUGUUUUCUAUUUAGUGAAUCUUAUACUUGAUAAUUCAAGUGUUCCUUAUGUGUUCGAUAUCUGUCCUUAGGGACAAAUUAUUACUCCUAACACGAUACACUUGCCGUAAAAUAAUCAUCACACUUUAAAUUUUAGUUUGUAUUAAAGAUUGCAAGGGUUUGUCUCUAAAUAUGUUUUGAUGAACAUUGUUGAAGAGUUUGAUCAUGUUAGACGUGUUGGUAUUGAUAGUGAAUGUCAUUGAGAUGUACUCAUGGUUUACCUUAUGCAUACGAAUUAGUGAAAUAUGACAUCGGUAGCAUACUAUUGAAUAUAGUGCAUGUUAUGUGGAUCAGAUUUAACUUUUUUUAUAGGUCAUCAUGCGAUUCAUCGUCCAGGUUAUCUAAUCAGUAGAAAUUGGACAUUUUUUAUAAUUGUUUUAAGGAAGUUGAAAUUGCAGGUGAAGUGACAAUUAAAGCAUUCCCAAAUCCAUAAUUGCAUUCUGGAUUUCACAAUUGAGAUUGUAUUUAAAUUUUGACAAAUACAUUCCAAAUUAUACAAUCUAGAACAUAAUUUUAGAUCAAAAAAUGACUUUCAAACUGUACAAUCCAAAAUUUUGGAUUAUGCAAUUAAAAAAUUCUCAAAAGAGACAUUCUGGAAUGAAAUUAAAUAACAACACUGAAUUGUAGUUUUAAAGAACUAACCUGAUAACACUAGCGCAACAAUGGGUGGCCAAGGUAGUUAUUGACAAUGAAUUUGGAACACUACAAGCGAAGAAAGUAGACAUGACCAUGACACCAUUAGUCGUCUAUGAGGGGAGAAGAAGCAGAGAAGAAGAGAAAAAGAAAAGGUAAAAAUAUAUGUCAUUAAGGACAUUUUGGUCUUUUUAGCAUCUUAUCGGGGUGUACUUGAAAAUUAUAGGAAGGCAAAAGGUAAUGUGGCCUAUGGUUAGUCUUUUAUUUUAGGUAAUGGAUAAUGAAGUUUUUGUUUUGACUACUUUUUCAUGCACCUCCAUACCUUCUUGAGUCACCCCAUACCAAAUGUAAAAAUAUUUUUUUAUCCUUUUGUGCCACCCCCAUACAUAAUCUGGAAGAUGUUUUUGAAUCUGGAAGUUUUGUUUAGAUUUAUGAAAUUCAGAAGUUUUUUAUGGAUUUGAGAUAAUCUUAUGUAUUAUGUAAUCCGAAAGCUAAUCACACAUUUGAAAAAAUACUUCUGGAUUACACAAUCCAGAAGCUAAUCUCAAUCCAAAAAAGACUUUCAGAUUAUAUAAUCCAGAAGCUAAUCAAGCAUUUGAAAAAAAAGCUUUCAAAUUACAUAAUCUGGAAGCUAAUUACAAAAGAUUUUUGGAUUACAUAAUCUGAAAUAUUAAAGCAGGAUAUUUUUGAAAUACAAAAAAUAUAUGGGGUGACACAAGAAAGUAUGGAGGUGCACGAAAAAACAUUCUUUUCUUUUUGAACUUUCUUAAACUCCAGUCUUGGCCUUUCUUCUGGCUCUUCUUCUGAUCCUUUUGUUCUUGAGUUAAUUAUAUAAAAAAUGAAAAAAAAGCCCAGAUUCUCUUUCAGUCUUUCUUAAUCUUAAUCUAAUGAGUAUUAGAACAAAUUAUUGUUGAUCACCAUCAGAUGUACCAGAUUCUUAGAAAGUAAAAUAUAAGGUUAAUUAAAUAUCACAAAAAUGAUUUAAUAAGAUAGCUUUUACAUUUUAAAUAUAUAAUAUAAUUUAAUUAUAUCACUAGUUAAAAUGUGAUAUUUUCGAAAUAAAUAAUAUUUUGAUUAUUAUGCUUUUAAUAAUAAUAAAAAAAAGAGCUCAACGAUUCCUCCAUUUCUUUAAGCGUCUUCAGAGAAACUUAUAAAUAUAAUAAAUUUUCUUGAUGUUAAUAAAAUAAUUAUAAGAUUUUCUAUUUUUUCUUUCUUCAUUUCUAUAUUACAAUACAUUUGUAAACUAAUUAAAUAUCUGAUGAAAAGUAAAGGUACAAUUAAUAAAAGAAUAAUUAAUGUUGACCGUGAAAAAGAAACAAAGAGAAUAUAUAUGAGUAGGUGUAAAACAUUUUCUCUAUUAAAAGACCGAAGAAAUUAAUGUUUUUAUGCUUAUUUUUUUGUAUUAUACUAUAAAAAAUAAUCUAUGUCUUGUUAAAUUAAUGAAAUUACAUAAUUUUUACCAUGAAAAAUAAAAUUAUAAUUAAUGAAAACUAAUUAAUGUUAUCUUCUAAUUGAUGAAAGAGCAAUUAAUGUGGCCCUCCCAAGGGAUUAUCUUACCUGGCCAAGAAUUUGUGAAAAGUGAAGAAAGAACCUUUUUCCACUUUAACUUCAAAUAUUUUGAUCAAAAUAUUUUUUACAAUUUUCCAAAAUCUCUUUUCUGAAAUAUAUUUUUUAGAUUUUUUUUAAAUAUGUAUUUUUUAUUAUGGAAUUGCGUCAAUUGUUUUCGAAUGGGAUUGAGGCUGAGAACGAUUCAAGUUGCUCUUUUAUCUGUUCGGUUGGUUGGUCGAUCAAGUCUUUUCUCCUUCCUCUCAAAGCGAUCUUCUUAGUCUCCUCUUUUAACUCUACCUCUCUGUCUUCACAAGUCCAGACUCGGAUAGUACUUGCAAAAGGUACUCCGACGCUCAAGUUAGAAUUGAGUAUUCGACACUCGGUAUUCUGAGCACGGUAUAUGAUGUACCUGAUUCUUGGAUUUUGUGUCUAUUUAUAUGGUUAUUAUGAGCAUUUUCUCAUUAGAUCAGAUUAUAAAGUAAAAUCAUGUUUAAGGAUAUAUUACCUAAUAUUUAACUGUUGAUUAACCUCAUUAAUUAUGCUUAAAUGUGAUGAGGUCGACUUAUCGAGACAUAAUAUUCGUUGUAGUACCCUACCGUACAUCAAAAGAUAAAAUACAAUUAAAUCAUUGUGUGAUGAAUAUAUUUGUUUAUGAUACUAGACUCACAACCCCCGUUAGAAGGAUAUCUAGGCCAACUUGAUUAAAUGACUACAUUUGAAGAAUCUCUUUCUUUUGUCUUUUGUGGGAUUAGAUUCCUAGGAUUUUAUGUUAUGUCUUUUUCAGUUUUAUUAGGACAAAUGACUUUUUAAAGGUAUUAUAUGUCACACUAGACUAGGAGACAGAGUAUGUUAUUGGUUCUGUUACUUUUUAUCCUAAAAGUUGUUUUUUUUUUGUUUCUGUCAUAUCUCUUUCCCAAGCUCUUUAUUUCCUAGUUUUCUUUACGUUCUUCCUCAUCCCCGCUCCAUCACUGUAUCACACAAGGACUACAAUCUUAUUAAGGUGAAGGAUAUCGUGAGGGAAAUAGCUUUGAAACCGUUAGAUUGCUUCCAUUUUAAAUCAAUGGUGGAUAAAUUUCAGUUCUUUAUAUAUUUUUAUUUCCUUCUUCUUCUUCUUUUCCCAUGGGCAAGUUUGAAAGAAAUAUCUGACACAAGAAAGCAUAGUCAUUGUCUCUUAUUCAUAUUCAGUCUCUGGACAAGAUUCUCUCUUACACUUGAUUCAAGCUACGGACUUAAUAACCUUAUCAGCUUCAAAAAGCUCCAUGAACCUUAAAUCGAAGGCUUCAUGCUCAGUGAGACUCAACCGUUUUCCCUCCUCACCGUUGUGUGCAUAAAACCUCCCAAUAUCAAGACAAGUUGGUGUCCCAGUGAUGCAGAACACAAACUUGUACGCAAACGGAUGAUAUUUCUCAAUAUGAAAUUUGCCAGCAUAAGUUUGUUGCCCGGGAUGGCCUUCGGCACCACCAACUCCCACACAUGCCUUCUGGAUUGCUUCGUCCAUAAACACCAACCACUUGGAGGAUUCUGAACACUCUGGCUUCUCCACGAACUCGAUUUCCAGUUCGGUACCUACACUCAUGUUUCCAAAAAAUUAAAUCAGUAACCUAUGCAACACACUCACACUUAAACACGUGUAAUCUUAAAUUGAUAAGGUGUUGAUGAGUACCAGUGAAGAUGAUUCCAGAGCUGUCUCCAGGUAUGGUGAAUUUCACAGGAAUGCCGCGGAAGUUUGCAAAGGGAUGUUGCAAGACAGUUAGAGCGCAGGGUGAGUUCCCAGAUUGACCAAGUUUCAAUCCACCAGCACGAGGGCCACGGAUUGAUGGUAUGAUGUAGUAUGUGAGACCUGGGCUAAUGGGGUUCCCACUUAUGUCCACAACUUGCUCAACAUCUGAGAAAGCUAAGGGAAGGUUGGUGAGGAAAGCAAGGAGAGGGAGGAGGAAGGAGAGGGCAAGAACUGCGUU